Mastomys coucha (southern multimammate mouse) is the source of this 2425-nucleotide long non-coding RNA. RefSeq lists it as uncharacterized. The record is from RefSeq and is a predicted model, not a curated record. The transcript has 2 exons. NCBI's taxonomy places the organism in Eukaryota, Metazoa, Chordata, Mammalia, Rodentia, Muridae.
UGAAGAGCGGAGAACUACCUCAGAGCCGCCUCCGAAAGGCCGCCUCUGUGCUAGGCGGGACCGCUUCGGUCGGUAAGAGGCGAGGAGGUACUCACGCGGGGCCCGGCUGGGAGCUGAGACGGUGCCCGCGGGCCUGGGCGUGGCCUCAUCGGUAGGAGGCGGAGCCUCAGGGCUCGGGGGAGUUCGGGUAGACUCGGGGAGGGGCGUGGCCUCAUUGAUACGAGGCGGAGCCUCAGGACUCGGGGAAGUUCGGGUAGACUCGGGAAGGGGCGUGGCCUCGUCAGUUGGAGGCGGACCCCCGAGUUUCGCCCAGUUACGCCAUCUGGCGACUCGCUCCAGCCUGUGAGGCUGGCUAGGAAAGCUCGGGCGGACCUGAUUGAGUCCUCUGGAUGCGCCCUGUCUCUGUGGGUAAUAGGGGACUAGCCCUGUGAACAAAAAAGGAGCCUGAGGCGCAGUGAGCAGAAGUCUGAAAACACAUCCAGUAUCAUAAGGUAUCAGGGAAAUGCACGAGAAACCACAACCAAGAGGAGAAAGCAAAGGCCAGUGAAGACAGGGUCCUGUGCAGCCCACCUGGAAUGCAGCAACAGCUUAGUAAUCUGCACUCUUGGCCCUCCAUACAACAAAGCAAUAUGUUCUUUCAUUCAAAUACUAGCAUAACAGACAAGUGCCACCAACUCAGCCAAGCUAAGCUCUUCCUUUCCUAAGGAAGACAGAACAGAGACCAUAUCACUACUAUCAGAAUGCUAUCAUGACUCAGAAGGCACCUAACCCUUGGCAUGGACCCCAAGACCAUGGGACAGUGGAAGCCGCAGGCAAGCAGGACACAUACCUUGUCUGUGCGAGCACAUCGCUGGAAGGACAUCUUCCUCAUAUCUGUGCCAUGGUUUUCAGGGAUACAACCUGCCUGGACUAAGGCAGAUACCAAGUCAUCCUCGAUGGUCCUGAACUGGGAGGACCCCAGAUUCCUCUAAAGAAAAAAGGGGAUAACCUGUUUUCAUGGGCUCUUGGGAUGGACACACACCAGAAAGCCGACCAUCACUUCUGGAACCAUCUCUAAUGCUGUGCCUCUCAGCCUUCCCUAACCAUAUAUAGGUUCAUGGUGUUCAUGAUCCUGUGAGGUCAGACACAUCAGCAUCCCACUAAUCCUCAGAAUAGAGACUAGAUCCAAGACUCAGGGAAAACCUUCCCAAGGGAAGCAGGGAAUGUGAACACCUCAACCAGGCUCCCUGGCUGAGACACUAUUUUCAAAGCCUGCUCAACCCUUUGAUUCCACUGCCACAGAUGAAGUCAGGACUGCUUCCCAAGUGACAUAAAAAGACCGUAACAAAAAGUGACUACAACCCUCACUCAGCUCUGUCACAUCUCAAGUAGGGAAACAGAGGUACAGAGGAUAUUACUGAGAAAGACAGCCAAAAAAAAAAAAAAAUUGCACUGUCAGAACUACUCCCCAGAAGCAGUGCAGUCUGCAGGUCCUCAGGAACGUCACAGCCUAGGCCACGUUAAAAGCACCAAAGCACCGUCUGGCCUGAAGGCACUACUCUCUACCCACUCUCACGGCACCAUGACUUACACUGCUGAAGCCUAUGUGUUUCUUACUGGAGAGGGACAAAGCCCGACUGUAGCCCAGACUAUCCUUGAACUUGGCAAUCCUCUUGCAUCAACUUCCCAAAUGCCAGGAUGACAGGCUAUGUGCUACCAUCCCAGUCGGCCUACAUGACUUAUGCCACUGCUGUCAUUCAUCCUCAAAGUCACCAUCAUACCUGGACAGACUAGGUUCUGGAGCCACUGUUCUGGUUGGAUACAUCACAGCAAUGAACUCCAUCCUGUGGCUCAAGAUUAAGGUUUAAAAAGUGGGGAAAGUGACCAGAGAGAUGGCUCAGUGUUUAGAGUACUGGCUGCUCUUCUAGAAGACUGGGUUUGAUUCUCAGCACCCAGAUGGCAGCUCACAAGUGCCUGUCACUCCAGCCCCAGGGGAUAAGUACGCCCUCUCCUGGCCUCUGAGAGCAACACAUACACACAGACAAUGCAGGCAGGCGAACCACCCAUAUACACAGAAAAAAAUUAAAGGUUAAAAUUUGUCUCAAAGAAAAAAUUAGAAAUUGAAACAAUGUCAACAGCAGAGGUGACAAGAAUGAACACGAUUCUACCCACACUGGUCCCUUUCAUAAGAGUCUGGUCAGUGGGUUGGAGACAGAGCCUAGCUUGACUCACGCCUUCUAGUGCUCUUCAGCUGCCCUCCAGCAUGCUGCACAGGUAGCACCAGGCAGCAAUCUGGUCCCCACUCUCAGUAAACCUGCCUUUGUCACACAGUGCCCCAGGUCCUGUGCAGGCACCACCCUAACGAAGACUCACUGCUCCCAAGGUCACAUGUGAAUCAGCCACAGAGCUGUCCUAACCAUUUGUGAAAGAAAACCAUCCAAGACUC